UUCCUACACUCAUAUCUCUCCAAUCUCUCAUUCUCUCUCAUUCCUUGCAUAUCACCACUCUUCACUCAUUCUCUCAUUUAAUUUCCAACAGCUAAUUAAGUGCUAGGAGCGGCGCAUCCAAGGCUCGAGGAGGACAACCGAAGCAAGCUUGAAGAGGUUUGAAUGCAAUCACUUAAGGUUAAGGAGUUGACGGCAAGACAACAGACAUGGAACUCCACAUUCUCCCGUUCUAUUAUAUGAUGAAGUAUUAUAUGUUACUGUUUUUGGUAAAUAUAUCUUGCUACUAACCAACUUAGCCUCUUCCAAUUUUGGUGGGUCGAGACUUUAUAUAUAUUGGUUUAUGAUCAUGCAUUUUGACGACGGCUGUGACCGAAUAUAUAUAUUUUGUUUACCGUAUGUGUAGUUACGAGCUGUGCCUCGAACAUGUUAAUUAUAGUAUUAAACUUGAUGGUUAUAUUUUGUAUGUACUCCACCUUUUUAUAUAUAUAAAUAUGAUGCUUAAAUAAAGUUA
Salvia miltiorrhiza (redroot sage) is the source of this 511-nucleotide long non-coding RNA. RefSeq lists it as uncharacterized. Lineage: Eukaryota; Viridiplantae; Streptophyta; Magnoliopsida; Lamiales; Lamiaceae. The record is from RefSeq and is a predicted model, not a curated record. The transcript has 3 exons.